CGAGUCAGUCGGGUGACCGCAGUUGCGCGCUUUGCGCGCGGUUGAGGAAAGUCGGGACUUCACAGAGCAGAGUGCUGGCGCGAGCCAGGUCGGGGAAACCUGACAUCCCGUGCAACAGAGAACACACCGCCGAUGGCGCGACUCCGGUCGCGAUCAGGCAAGGGUGAAACGGUGCGGUAAGAGCGCACCACGGCCGGCGGCGACGUCGGUCGGUGGCACGGCACUCGAAGCAAGAUCGAACAGAGGGCACGGGUGGUUCGCCCGCCGCAAGGCACCCUCGGGUAGAUCGCAUAGAUGGAUGGUCACCGCCGCCGACUCGUAAGGGUCGUUGGUACAGAAUCCCGCUUACAGACCGACUCGCCGU
RNAcentral lists this RNase P RNA (364 nucleotides) under Actinomycetota bacterium. Its description in RNAcentral is "Actinobacteria bacterium RNase P RNA component class A". It matches the Rfam family "Bacterial RNase P class A". Rfam says of the family: Ribonuclease P (RNase P) is a ubiquitous endoribonuclease, found in archaea, bacteria and eukarya as well as chloroplasts and mitochondria. Lineage: Bacteria; Bacillati; Actinomycetota. The record is from RNAcentral.